CGCUCACAUUUUUAAUUCAUAAUUUAAAAUGUACAAGGCUGUAGAGAAAACAUUGAACUUUAAUUUAUAAAUUCAUUUGUUUUUCCUCUUAUUGAUAUUAUCAAAAGGUAUUUAUUAUUUAUCUUGCGGUAUUUGAUUUGAUGCGGUUAUUCUUGUGUUGCCUUUUUUGAUGUUACUGGAAGAAUAUUAGAAAGAGCAGUGUGGCAAGAAUUUGUUUCUAGUUAUGAUGAAGUAGAUUAUCGGUUAUAUCUUCGGGAUAAAGAAUAAACUGAAGGAAUUUCACCUGCUGCAUCUUUUCUCAACCCGCUUUCUGCGGUUCUAGCAAACGAAGUAAACGC
Molecule: long non-coding RNA, 338 nt
Organism: Argiope bruennichi
Lineage: Eukaryota; Metazoa; Arthropoda; Arachnida; Araneae; Araneidae
Exons: 3
Source: RefSeq, a predicted model, not a curated record